This 88-nucleotide transfer RNA is filed under the name Cordylochernes scorpioides. Its description in RNAcentral is "tRNA-OTHER". Lineage: Eukaryota; Metazoa; Arthropoda; Arachnida; Pseudoscorpiones; Chernetidae. The record is from RNAcentral.
GCCCGUGGCGUCAUUUAGGUUGGCCAGGGCUGGUCUAAACCGUUGGUUUUAGACCAUUACGACCCGGGUUCGAUUCCCGCAUUGGGCA